Molecule: transfer RNA, 73 nt
Organism: Ipomoea nil (Japanese morning glory)
Lineage: Eukaryota; Viridiplantae; Streptophyta; Magnoliopsida; Solanales; Convolvulaceae
Rfam family: tRNA
About the family: Transfer RNA (tRNA) molecules are approximately 80 nucleotides in length. Their secondary structure includes four short double-helical elements and three loops (D, anti-codon, and T loops).
Source: Rfam
GCCCGUCUAGCUCAGUCGGUAGAGCGCAAGGCUCUUAACCUUGUGGUCCUGGGUUCAAGCCCCUGGGUGGGCU